This is a long non-coding RNA of Ostrea edulis (European flat oyster), 680 nucleotides long. RefSeq lists it as uncharacterized. The record is from RefSeq and is a predicted model, not a curated record. The transcript has 3 exons. Lineage: Eukaryota; Metazoa; Mollusca; Bivalvia; Ostreida; Ostreidae.
AGCAUAUGUUGGGAAGAAACGAAGGGAUCAAAAGCAAGAUACUACUGCUCAGGGUGAGGACUCGUGGAAGAUGGGAAAAUUGAACGCCUACAAAGGAAAACCCCUACCUGACUGUUUGCCAACAACAACUAUAAACAGCCUUUGAAGUUGAAAAGUACGAGUUCUUUCGACAAGCGGGACGUCGAGCCAUCCAUCUCACAGUAGCAUGAACUGAUAUCGAAACUUUGUUUUAGUGAUGAUAAUUAUUCCACUAAUCGCAAUUAUAUUGGUUUCUCGUCACCUCGAAACAUCAAGAAAACAGCUGAAAUGGAAGUACAGACCGAUAUAAGAAUGGAAGAAAUGACAAAGCUCCUGGAUUUGAAGUCGAAAUCCUAGAACCCUGAUGUUGUUUGUCCAGAGAGUCACGUGUACACCCAGUGACGGGAGCGUGAAACAGCAUACUGGAGUGUCAUUGAAUAUUUGCACUUUCCAUUAUCGCAACAAUAGAUUCUAGAUCGAUUAGAGAAUAUUCAUGAAAAUGUGGGAGCAUUUUUUAUAAAGUGUAUUAUAAUUUAAUGAUAGAAUGUUGUCAUUUAUGUUCUAAUGAACCGUUAUGCACUGGAAAAUUGAACGUGUUUUAAGUUUCAAAUGCAAACUAGUGCUACUGUAAUUUCAAAUAAAGUUUAUUAUCUAUCUUCUAA